This 439-nucleotide ribosomal RNA is filed under the name uncultured bacterium. RNAcentral's name for it is "bacterial SSU rRNA". It matches the Rfam family "Bacterial small subunit ribosomal RNA", at positions 338 to 793 of the family's 1533-position model. The record is from RNAcentral.
CCUACGGGAGGCAGCAGUGGGGAAUAUUGCACAAUGGGGGAAACCCUGAUGCAGCGACGCCGCGUGGGCGAGGAAGUACCUCGGUAUGUAAAGCCCUAUCAGCAGGGAAGAAACAGGACAGUACCUGACUAAGAAGCCCCGGCUAACUACGUGCCAGCAGCCGCGGUAAUACGUAGGGGGCAAGCGUUAUCCGGAUUCACUGGGCGUAAAGGGAGCGCAGGCGGCAUGGCAAGUCUGAUGUGAAAACCCGGGGCCCAACCCCGGGAGUGCAUUGGAAACUGCCAGGCUGGAGUGUCGGAGGGGUAAGCGGAAUUCCUAGUGUAGCGGUGAAAUGCGUAGAUAUUAGGAGGAACACCAGUGGCGAAGGCGGCUUACUGGACGACUACUGACGCUGAGGCUCGAAAGCGUGGGGAGCAAACAGGAUUAGAUACCCCAGUAG